RNAcentral lists this long non-coding RNA (30184 nucleotides) under Lactuca sativa (garden lettuce). RNAcentral's name for it is "long non-coding RNA (LSAT_LNC004896)". Lineage: Eukaryota; Viridiplantae; Streptophyta; Magnoliopsida; Asterales; Asteraceae. The record is from RNAcentral.
AACUUUGCAUGAUAAUUAGACAAACAUAGAUCCAAGGUUAUUAGGGUUGCAUGUACACUUAGGAAGUGUUAGAAUGCUCAAAACCCAUCAGUGGUAUCAGAGCCUAGGCUUGUUUGUUUGUUAUUUGUGCUUAAAAGUUGAAGAAAGUCGAAAAUCUUGCUGUCUGACUGAUGGACUCGGCGAGUCCAUGGGGAGGACUCGUCGAGUUCAUGUGUAUCUUCAACCUACUCGGCGAGUAGGUUUAUGCACUCGGCGAGUAGGGUCGACAGAGUGCAGAAUUUCGACUUGAGUUGCUGGAAAUGGAUUAGAAUCAUUACCCUAAAAUGUUUUGGUACUUGAAAACUUAUUUUAGAAGGUGUAAUGUCUUUUCUAACUCAUUUACAACAACUAGUUAUCAAAAUUACAAAGAUUAAAUGUGAUUUUGAUUCUUGAAAGUGUUCAUAUUCAUAUUCUUGUUCUUAUGAUGUUUAGAUGAUCAUAGGAAUUAUUUGUAACCUAUGUGGUAGAUUAAUUCAUGAUCAUAAUGUGUUUUAAUGGAGUCCAUAACUUGUCCUCAAGUUAUGGAAAACCAAAAGUCUCUUGGAUUAAAAACCAUUAAAAGAACACAAGAGUUAGGAAAAAUGAAAAGUCCUCAUUUUAUUACUCUAUUAAACUCAUAAGUUACAAGAAAUGAAAAGUUUUGAAAGUUUACAAAACUUGCCCUCAAGUUUUGGAACAAGUAAAGUUAAGUUAAAACUUUAGUUCCAACCCCUAGAAUUUUAAAAGUUAAAAUUCAACCCUUAUACUUAUAUUAUUAUGAUUUAAUAAUUAUAUAUAUAUGUAUAAGAACAAAGUCGUCUUACCGCUAGUACGCCUCAUUCACGAAGCCGGUCUAUAAGGUGGGUAUAAGGUUGUUGCCUAUAAAAUGGUGACUUAAUGGGUGUCCACUCUCACCCACCGCUUGCUUGAUCGGUGGAGGGUCGUUAGCCGAACGGGUAAGACAAGGACUUAUUAAUUCUCAUUCAAAGUAUGAUGAAUAUUAUAAAGUAACUAAAUGUUUUAUUAAAUUCCCAAUCUUAGUUACUUUAGGAAAAAUGUGAAUAAGGUGCUAUUCCAUGAAAUUACACUUUACACUUUGAUUAAGUCGUUGGUGGAGCGUGUGUGGUUAACCGGCACACUAACUUGGACUUAACAAGGUAGGUAAAGGGUGACUUAGGGUUUAUUAUAGUAUCGAUGGAGCGUGUGUGGUUAACCGGCACAUCGAUUGAGUGAUAAACUUUAAGGGUACCAAGUGAUUUGCAUGGUUACUUCACACCUCGUUUUGUGAUCCUCGGUAUCCCAGUCACAAAACUUGGAGGGCACACUCGAGAUUGAAACAUGCCUUUGAAAAGUUCAUUGAAUCUCAAAGAAUCUAGGAAUUUCUAAGAACCAUUCAAAAACCUAAUACUAAAAUAUUGCGGUUUUCGUGGUGGAAAUUGGUGAAUCGUCAUUCACCUACCUUUCAAAUAUGAUAUAGCUUAGAUUACGGCAUACCUCUUCUAAGUUAUAUUAUAUUGUGAUUGGAUCCUAGCCUUAAUAUUACAUUUGGGUGUUUUAUUAAGGACUCUCUUAUAUCUAAACUAAUCUUGUCCUCUUUCCUUCAGAUGUCUUUCAACAAUGCUUCUGGCUCUAAUCCUAAUGGCUCCUUUACCCUUAUGAACUUGUGUGGGAAAGUCACCUUUGAUGGAUCCAACUUCAAUGAGUGGAUCAGAAACAUCAGGAUGAUUACCCGCUACGAGGACAAAGAAUAUGUCCUUGACAAGGAGCUUAAGGAGAUUGAUGAGUCCACUGCAACUCCUCAGGAGAUCGCUGAAUUUCGGGCACAUGAAAGGGAUGCUACGAAAGUGGCUUGCAUCAUGAUGGCCACGAUGACAGCGGAACUCCAAAAGUCUUAUGAGGAUUUCUACCCUUAUGAAAUGCACCAAGAUUUGAUGGAAAGAUACCAUCAAAGUGCAAGACAAGAGAGGUAUGAAAUCAUCUGCUCCAUGAUAACAACCAUGAUGAAGGACGGGGAAUCCGUCACGAGCCACAUGCAGAAAAUGCAAAGGUAUGUGGAUCGUUUGCUGAAGCUUAAUGUGAACUUCCCGGAGGAUCUUGCAAUAGAUAUUAUUUUGCAUUCCUUACCAUCGUGCUAUGAUCAAUUCCGCAUGACAUAUCACAUGAACAAGGAAGAAGUCACCCUCAGCAAACUUCAGGGACUUCUCAAGACCGCAGAAUCAGGUCUUAAGGGGAAGUCGGUUGCUAUCACUCCUACUCAAAACUCUACUCCGGUUUUGGCAAUCGGGAAAAGUCGAGGGAGGAAGAGAAAGAGCUCUUCUAAGGGUACCAAGGUUCGGACCCUUGAUGGCUCUUCUUCAAGUGGAACCAAGAAAGGUUUCAUUACUCCUUCUUCUGACCCAAAAGAGGCUGAAUGCUUCUAUUGCCAUGAAAAAGCUCAUUGGAAGCGGAACUGCCCAAAAUACCAGCAAGAUGUGAAGGAUGGGAAAGUUAAACCCAACCAUGCAGGUAUUUACACUAUCAUUUCUAAUAACUCACCCCAUUCUAAUUCUUGGGUCCUUGAUACCGGGUGUGGUAUUCACAUUUGUUGUGACUUGCAGGGACUAAGAAGAAGUGAGGAUGUGGAGCAAGGAAGGAUAAACUUGAUCAUGGGGAAUAGGAAAGCUAUACCUGUUACCAAGAUUGGAGUUUAUACUUUAUCGCUAAGUAGUGGGUUUAGUUUAGAUUUGAAUAAGUGUUGUUAUUCGCCAGGAAUGGCAAGAAAUAUUAUUUCCUUUCAUGCUUUGUACAAACAAGGGUUUACCUUUUCAUUUAAUAAUGAAGUUGGUUCUAUAGAUGUUUUCUAUAAUAAUGUCUUUUAUUUUAAAGCAUUACCUUGUGAUGGUGUGUAUGAAGCUGUAUCUGUUGUAGAUAACUUGGGAAAUAAUGUUUUGUGUAUUGAUUCUACUAAUAAUAACUUGGAUAAAGCAUCUUUAUGGCAUUGUCGUCUUGGACAUAUAAGCAAGAAACGCAUAGGCCAACUCCAAAAGGAUGGAGUCUUGGAGUCGUUUGACCUAAAGUCAGAUGAUAGUUGCGAAUCAUGCUUACUUGGAAAAAUGACAAAGUCACCCUUCACAGGUUCGUGUGAGAGGGGUGAAGGUUUGUUGGACCUUAUACACACGGAUGUGUGUGGACCAUUCAAACAUGCCACAAGGGAUGCUAAUCGUUAUUAUUUGACUUUUACUGAUGAUUAUAGUAGAUAUGGAUAUGUCUACUUGAUCAAGCAUAAGUCAGAGACUUUCGAGAGGUUUAAGGAAUUUAAACAGGAAGUCGAGAAUCAAUUGGGCAGGAACAUUAAGAUGCUUCGAUCCGAUCGUGGUGGUGAGUAUCUUAGUUCAGAGUUCCUCGACUAUCUAAGGGAAUGUGGGAUAGUCUCACAAUUGACACCUCCCAGGACACCACAGUUGAAUGGUGUGGCUGAGAGGCGUAAUCGAACCUUGUUAGAUAUGGUUCGUUCCAUGAUGAGUCGAGCUACGCUACCAAUCUCAUUCUGGGGGUAUGCCUUAGAGACUGCCGCCCAUAUUCUUAAUCUAGUCCCUACAAAGAAAGUUGCCAAAACUCCUCACGAGAUGUGGACUGGUAAAGUACCUAAACUAGACCACAUCAAGAUUUGGGGUUGCGAGGCUUUCGUGAGACGCGAGACUCAUGAUAAGCUCGAACCUCGAAGCGAGAGGUGUAUUUUCAUCGGUUACCCACAGCGAUCCUUUGGUUACCUCUUCUACAGACCUAGUGACAAUGUGGUCUUUGUAGCAAGAAGAGGAGUCUUUCGAGAAAGAGAGUUUAUAAGCCAAGGAGACAGUGGGAGGCAAAUUGAUCUUGAAGAAAUUCAAGAAUCAAGCGGUGAAGGAACUUCAAACUCUAGCCCUCAACUUGAGGAGGAAACUCCUGUUGAGCCAAUUGACAAAUCUGUACCUCUGAGACGUUCCACGAGAGUUAGGAGUGCACCUGAGCAUUACUAUGGAUUCCAUAUUACUGCAGAAGGUGAGACACUUAUUAGUGAUGAGACACUAGUAAGUCAAGAUGACCCUAACAGCUACGAGGAAGCCAUGGCAGGCCCCGAGUCUGCUAAAUGGAAAGAGGCUAUGGAUAGCGAGAUACAAUCCAUGUAUGACAAUCAAGUUUGGAACUUGGUUGAAAAUGUACCAGGUCGUAAGACAGUAGGGUGCAAAUGGGUCUUCAAGAAGAAGACCGACAUGGAUGGUAAAGUACACACUUAUAAGGCUAGACUGGUUGCAAAGGGCUUCUCUCAAAUUCCUGGAGUGGAUUAUGAUGAGACCUUUUCUCCGGUAGCCAAGAUUAAGUCUAUUCGGGUUCUGUUAGCCAUAGCUGCAUUUCAUGACUAUGAAAUAUGGCAGAUGGAUGUCAAAACCGCUUUCCUUAAUGGAAAGUUGGCUGAAGAUGUUUACAUGAGUCAGCCAGAGGGUUUUGUCAGCAACGAGUACCCUAAUAGAGUGUGUAAGCUUGAGAAAUCCAUUUAUGGAUUGAAGCAAGCACCUCGCAGAUGGAAUCUUUGCUUUGAUGAAAAGGUCAAGGAAUUUGGCUUUUCUAGGAGUGAAGAUGAAUCUUGUGUGUAUGUCAAGGCUAGUGGGAGUAUAGUUAGCUUUUUGGUAUUGUAUGUGGAUGACAUACUACUCAUAGGAAACGACAUUCCAACCCUGCAGGAAGUAAAGUCCUGGCUUGGGAAGUGUUUCGCUAUGAAGGACCUUGGUGAAGCUGCCUAUAUUCUAGGGAUAAGAAUCUUGAGAGAUCGGAGUAAAAGACUAAUUGGACUUAGUCAGAGUACCUACUUGGAUAAGGUGCUGAAGAGAUUCAGCAUGCAGGAUUCCAAGAAAGGAGAGUUACCCAUCCAGAGUAACACCAGAUUGAGUAAGACACAAAGCCCUAGCACUGAGGCUGAGAUAGCAGAAAUGAGUCGAACACCUUACGCUUCGGCUGUAGGAUCGAUCAUGUAUGCUAUGACGUGUACUCGACCCGAUGUAGCUUUUGCCUUGAGCAUGGUUAGCAGGUAUCAGGCGAACCCUGGCAAGGCACACUGGACUGCGGUAAAGAAUAUCCUCAAGUACCUACGGAGGACUAAGGACUGGGUCCUUACCCUCGGUGGGAGUGAUGACUUGAGAGUUGUAGGGUAUAGUGAUGCUAGCUUCCAGACUGAUAGGGAUAAUUUCCGCUCUCAGUCGGGCUGGGUCUUUACCCUAAACGGAGGAGCAAUUUCUUGGAAGAGUUCCAAGCAAGAGACAGUGGCAGAUUCUACUUGUGAAUCAGAGUAUAUUGCAGCUAGCGAAGCAGCAAAGGAGGCGAUAUGGCUGAAGAACUUCAUUGGAGACCUUGGAGUUGUACCAGCUAUUAAAGAGCCAAUGGAAAUUUUCUGUGAUAGUGAAAGUGCUGUUGCCUUAGCCAAGGAACCAAGGGAUCAUGGGAGAUCCAGACACAUCGACAGAAAAUACCAUUUCAUUAGACAUCGGAUCGAAGAAGGACUCCUCGUGGCAAAGAGGGUAUCAUCGGAUGAGAACCCAGCAGAUCCCCUCACGAAGGGACUGAGUAGGGUUAAGCAUCUCCAGCAUGCUCGGAGCAUAGGGCUGAAGGAUGAUAUAAGUUUUAGUAGUUAGAUAACCCAGAAAUUUGUAAAGUGUAAUUGACAUUUGAUGAUGAAUAAAAGGUGUUUUAUUUAUGAGUAAAGUGUUGCUAUCUCUUGUCAAUCGUUUACUAUAUUUCUUUUGCAUGUUUUGACUUCCAGAAUAAUUUUGUUUGGUGUAACAUAUUAUUCAAACCUCCACAGUCGGUCAUAUGUCGGAAGUAGGUAUGAAUCAAGACUGUCAUGAUGGGUUGUAGAGGUCUAAGGUGUUGGACAAGGCUACAACAAUCAUGAGUGCUCAUAAGUUCUGAGCAUUGGACUCAACCCACGCUCACUGGAAUCACUUCAUGGAAUUCUAUCUCGAGUGAUCGUGAGACGGUAAUAUCAUAUAAGUCUUCAAACCUAGAGAUAUGAUUUGUUACUUACAAGUUGGUUAUGCAUUGACUGUACGAAACCGCAUUGGUAACUCGAUGUUAUAAAACGUACUUUUGUGUGUAAUUCAAUGAGUGGUAGAACAAACAUAUGAGUCGAAGUUUAUCUGUUCCUUCUUGGAUUAGAAGCUGAUAUCUGGGCCCCUCGAUGAUUUUGUUUUGACCCAUGUACCGGGCCCGGUCAGAACUAAGUUGAUGUGUUCAAUUAAGUUCUAUGUCAAACAAAUCGGAAAUCGGGAAACAAAUGCUGGACAAUAAGCAAGACAAUGUUCCAUGUAUUUGUCCGGCUGAUAUCUAGAACGGAGGAUUAUAUGAUCACUUAUCUUAAAUGGCGUACCAUCAUCUUCUCAGUUCCGAGAGACCUUGAAAGAGCUACGAUUGCCGGUCGGUUCCUGAAGUACUAGAGAUAUAGUUAUUAGACUUAUCCAAGUGGGAGACUGUUGGAUAAGGUGUCUAAGUCCAUAACUAUUUCGGGCUUGUACUUGACCCGACCCGGCAUGGUCCAUUUGGGUUGCAUGGCACCAUGCAAUUGGAUAGACUAAAUGAGAGAAAUAACACUUGGAGAUUAUUAAUAUAUUAUAAGUUCUAAUAUAUUAAUAAUAUUAUUUGAUUAGUUGAUCAAAGAAUUAAUUUGGAAUUAAUUAAGUGAUCAAAGGAUAACUAAUUAAAUAUAUGGGUUGAUUAUGUAAAUCAUCCAUAUCUUGUAUAGUGGGCUAAGAGGCUCCAUGGAUUAUCAAGUUGGGUUCUACCCAUAGGAUGCUCCAUGGAUGCUCCAUGGGAGUUACAAACCCAUGGGUCAUGGAAAUGAAGAGUCAUGACACAUUAGGGUUUACAUGGUGUAACCCUAGAUGUGUCAACACUAUAUAAGAGUCCCAUUCUCCACAAAAUUGGCUACACAAGUUGAACACUAAGAAACUAGAGGGCUUGGCCGAUUUUGAGAAGUAUGUGUUAUCUCAAGAGUCUUUCCAAGAGCAUUUGGUGUUGUGUGAAGCAUUUGAGGCAUCACACUUGGGGUGCUAGGCUCACAAGGUUUCAAGGAACACAAGCAACAACAAGGUAAGUUAUUCUAUCUAUGAUUCAAGUUAAAAUUGUUCCCCAUGUACGCUAGAUAGGAAUAUAACCUUGGAAUUCAACUUUGCAUGAUAAUUAGACAAACAUAGAUCCAAGGUUAUUAGGGUUGCAUGUACACUUAGGAAGUGUUAGAAUGCUCAAAACCCAUCACUUAAUGGAUUAGUCCUUAAUUGGUUAAGUGAGAAACACUUAACCCUAAUCGUCAUUUCAUGUGAAAACCCUAUUUCACUUGGGCCUUGGGUCGGGCCUUUCCUUUGGGCUUUGGUAAUUGGAUUAUUAAUGGGUCAUCCAAGAAUAAUCAUAUGGACAAAAAUAUAUUGAUGGGUUUAGGGUAAGGCCCAUAUGAGGGUGUGGGCCCAAUUUGGAAAAUUGGGCCUUAGAUGGGCCAUACUUUGGGCCUUGAUGACUACAUGAUAUUGGCCCAUUGGAAAUACCAAAUGUUUGGACUGGACUAAGUAGUUUGGCCUUUAAUUAUGACCAUGUAAAGGUUUGGGCCCAGUUUGUAAAAUUGGGCCAUAUGUUAGGCUUUGGCCCAUUACUUGACUUUUGGGCUUUUGUAGUGUGAGUUGGACCUUGGGCAUGGAACCCAGUUAUUAAUUGGGUAUUGUUUGAUGCUGACAGUUCGGGGAUCUAUCAACCAGCAGGUCGAGUUUUAUCUGCGGGACUUCAACAGUGUCAGGUGAGUUAUCCUCACUAUACUAAGGGUUCUAAGGCACCAAGGCUGGCACAUUGGAUUUUAUAUCCUACUAAUUAUUGAUAUGUUGAGUUGAGUUAGUUAUCUAUGCCAGUUGAUAUUCUAGUCGGGUAGAUCUGUAGGAUUACCUGUGAUACUGUAUGAUUACCUGUAUGUGCAUUAGUUAUGUUAUAUUUCGACAUGUUAUGUGGGAUUGGUUGAGGUUGUACUACUUCGUGCAGUAGCCAACAAACCCUAGAGUAUUCCAGAGAUGAGUUGAGGGUCGGGUAAGGCAUGCCAGACUCAUACUAAGGACUCGGGAGCAUUCCAGAUACUAGCUGAGGACUGGGUAGGGCAUGCCAGACUUGUACUGUGGGCUCGGUGGGAAUCCAGACUCACACUGUGGGCCCAAGGGUAAUCCAGUCUGUGAAGCUGUGGACCUGUUGCAUGUUGUUCAGUUUGUUAUGUUAUGAUAUUGUUGAUAUUAUUAUGUGGACUGUAUGUGUAUCGGUAUUGUGGGGGUAACUCAGUAAGCUUUGUGCUUACGGUUUGAGUUUAUUAUUUCAGGUGCUUCAGAUGAUAUGGUAAGGCGAAGGCGUGACCGUAAACAUACUCGUGUUUUGGACUUAUGGUUUUUAGGAUACUCUGAUAUUAAACUAUUUUGAGAACACUUUGUAAUAACUAAUGGCUUUUGGAUAGCUAAAAAAGUUUUAAGUUUGCUUGGAUUUUAUUUGUGUUACCAUUUACCGAAAAGAUGAAGUUAUUUCCUUAUCAAGUGCCGACUUAACUUCCCAAGAUUGAAUUUUGAUAACGGAUUGCCAUCAGACUUUGGCCCAACAGUCAAAAUGGCAAGCAUGUUGAAGGAAGCCAUUAGAGCAGCCAAGAAUGUUGAGACCCAGUUAAAGGAAAGGGCAGAGGUUGGUGAGAAAAGGAAGUUUGAUGGAUCUUCGAGAUCCAACAAGAAAAGUAAAUUCUUGAAGUCUAGUUCGAGAGGAAGAGGAGGCAAAGCAAAAUGGUGUGACAAGUGUAAGAAGAAACAUGUUGGUAAAUGUGGUGAGGAGGUCACUUGUUUUAAAUGUGGAAAGCGUGGGCACUUUGCCAAUGAAUGCACCUUCAAUAAGAAAGUUUGUUAUGGGUGCAACGAAGAAGGGCACAUUUUGAGGGACUGCCCAAAGAAGAAAGAGGCAGCAAGGCCCAAUCUCCCCCAAAAUCCGAAGUUGAGAUCUUUCUAGAUGACACUGGUUUCCGGAAAGGAUGCAACAGAUGUUGCUUCGGGUAAUUUUCUUGUAAAUGGAUUACCUGUCAAUUUAUUGUUUGAUUCCGGAGCAAAUUACUCUGUUAUAUCACAUAAAAUGGUAGAAGACUAGCAUUGCCUGUAGAAAAACUUGAUAAUGCCCUAAUUGUAGAAGUUACUAAUGGCAAAUUCAUACCUAUUAGAGAUUGCAUUAAGAAUAUCGACAUCGACUUGAACGAAAAUGAAUUCGAUGAAGGGUUGUUACGUAUUGAGUUGAAUGGUUUCGACAUCGUACUUGGAAUGGAUUGGCUUAGCGCUAAUGAUGUCGAGAUAAUGUGGAAGAAACCGAUAGUGAAGGUAAACCCGCCUGGAAAAGAGUCAUUUAUGGUGUACGGAGACAAGCACAAAGUAAAUUCUAGAAUAAUUUCCCUAAUGAAAGCCAUAAAAUGUUUAUCUAAAGGAUUCUCCUCAUACUUAGCAUUCGUGAUUGAUGCUAAGAAGGAGAAAUAGGAGAUGCAAAGUAUACCAAUGGUGUGUGAUUAUCCUAAAGUCUUUCCCGAAAAUCUUCCUGGAUUGCUCCCUGAUAGACAAGUGGAGUUUUGAAUAGACUUGUUGCCAUGAAUAACACCAAUAGCAAAAGCACCAUACCGAUUAGUACCAAUGGAGAUGAAGGAGCUUAUGAUGUAACUUUAGGAAUUUUUGGACAAUGGUUUCAUUAGACCAAGUUCAUCACCCUGGGGAGCUCCGGUGUAAUUCGUAAAGAAGAAGGAUGGAAGCAUGAGGAUGUGCAUAGACUAUAGAGAGUUGAAUAAGGCAACGGUAAAGUACAAGUACCCAUUGCCGAGAAUUGAUGACAUGUUUGAUCAGCUGCAAGGUUCGAUCUAUUUCUCAAAGAUCGAUCUUAGGUGAGGAUAUCAUCAGCUAAAGAUGAGAGACCAUGAUAUUUAGAAGACUGCGUUCAGAACAAGAUAUUGACACCAUGAGUUCUUGGUCAUGUCGUUUGGACUAAUCAAUACUCCAACAACAUUCAUGGAUUUAAUGAACAGAUUUUGUAAACCAUUCCUUGAUAAAUCUAUGAUAGUGUUCGUAGAUGACAUUUUGAUUUAUUCAAAAAUCAAGCAGGAGCAUGGCAAACAUCUGCAAGAAGUGUUAGAAGUUCUGAAAAAGGAGAAGCUAUAUGCAAAGUUCUCCAAAUGUGAUUUUUGGAUUCAAGAAGUUCAAUUUUUGGGUCUUGUGGUUAACUAAGAAGGGAUCAUGGUUGACCCAGCUAAGAUUGAAGCUAUAAUAAAGCGGGAACAACCAAAGAGUCCCACGGAGAUCUGAAGCUUUCUGGGAUUAGCUGGAUAUUACCGAAGAUUUAUCCAAGGCUUUUCUCCGAUAGCUACUACAUUGACAGCUUUGACCCAUAAAGGAGCUACUUUUACUUGGAAUGAGAAUCACAAGGAAGCAUUUGAGAAGCUAAAGAAGAAGUUGUGUGAAGCACCGAUUCUUUCUAUACCCAAUGGAUUUGAAGACUUCAUAGCUUAUAGCGAUGCAUAUGGAGUCGGGUUAGGUUGUGUUCUGACCCAAACGGAUAAAGUGAUAGCAUAUGCAUCGAGACAAUUGAAAGUACAUGAAAAGAACUAGCCCACUCAUGAUUUGGAGUUGGUAGCGGUAGUAUUUGACCUAAAGAUAUGGAGGCAUUAUCUUUAUAGCAAAAAGUGAAAACUUUUCACCGAUCAUAAGAGUCUUCAGUAUCUCUUUAAUCAUAAAGAAUUGAACAUGGGACAACGACGCUAGUUAGAGUUGCUUAAGGAUUACAACUGUGAAAUACUUUACCACCCUGGUAAAGCAAAUGUUGUAGCUGAUGCUUUAAGCCGAAAAGUGGAGAAGGAGAUUAAGAAUCGAAGUUGUCUCAACCAUUGUAAAAAUCAUCAAGAAAGCUCAUGAAGAAGCUUUAGAGAAAAAUGACCGAAUAGAAGAAUGUUUCGGCAAAACGUUAAUGUUUGGUACGAAUGGUCAAGGAUUGAAGGUAUUCCAAGAUAGGAUUUGGGUACCUAAGACGGGAGGAAUAAGAGACCUUCUUAUCGAAGAAGCUCACAAGACCAUGUACUCGAUUCAUCCUGGCAACACGAAAAUGUAUAGGGAUCCGAAACCCUACUACUAGUGGCAGACGAUGAAGCUCGAUGUUGCAAAGUAUGUGGCCAAGUGUGUGACAUGUGCGGGGGUUAAGGCACAACAUCAGAAACCGUAUGGGAGUUUAGAAGCUUUACCUGUACCCAUGAUGUGAAACAAAGAGCGGUCAUGACAUGGUUUGGGUAAUCGUUGAUCGGUUCACAAAAAGUGCACAAUUCAUAGCAGCUAAUAAGAAUUAGUUGAUGGACAAGCUAGCAAAUGCUUAUGUGAAGGAGGUAUUAAGACUUCAUGGUGUUCCUUAAACAAUUGUAUCAGAUCAUGAUAGUCGUUUCACAUCAAGGUUUUGUAGGAGUCUACAAGAGGAAUUGGUACGACGUUGUGUCUGAGUACAACCUACUAUACACAGACCGAUGGUCAGAGCGAAUGAAUGAUUCAAACAUUGGAGGACAUGCUAAGAGUGUGUACCCUGGAACUCCAAGGUAACUGGGAUGAACAUUUACCUCUGGUGGAACUAUCUUACAAUAAUAGUUUCCACUCGAGCAUUAAGAUGACACCUUAUCAAGAUUUGUAUGGAUAGAAGUGUCGAACGCCGUCAUGUUGGGUUGAAGCUGGAGAAAAGUAGUUUAUGGGACCCAAGAUAGACCAUCAGAUUUCCGAAAUUCUAAAAGUGAUUAGGGAAAUGAUGUUAGCAGCUCAGGAUCAUCAAAAGAGCUAUGCUGACAAGAAAAGACAACUGAUGACAUUCGAAGUUGGAGAUUCGGUUUUACUUAAAGUCUCGCCAUGGAAGGGACUUAUAAGAUUCGGUAAAAGGGGAAAGUUGAGUCCAGGGUUUAUUUGACUGUUUAAAGUUCUUCAGAUGAUUGGGAACCAAGCUUACAAGCUAAAACUACCCGAAGAACUAGGUGGUAUUCAUAACACUUUCCACGUGUGUUAUUUGAGGAAGUUCACGGGAGAAGUUCUCGACAUAAUUCAAAUUUCCAAGUUAAAUAUGGAUGAAAAGAAGAGGCUAAUUGAAGAACCAGAGGCGAUCGUUGACCGUAAGACUAAGAAAUUGCAACGCAAGAUGGCCGAUUUAGUGCUUUUACGAUGGAAACAUACAAAUGGGCCAAAUCUCACAUGGGAAACGGCGAGUGAUAUGAUAAGUCAUUAUCCGCAUUUAUUUGUCGAUGCAUGAUUUUGGGGACGGAAUCAUCCAAAGGAAGAGAGAAUUGUUACGCCCGUAUUUCUGGGCUAAGCAUUAAAGAUGAUAUAAUAGUCUAGGUAAACCCUAGUAACUCGUUUUUAAGUAAUAAAAACGAAUUAUUUGUGUAUUAUGUGCUUUAUACUUAAUUAUGAUGAUAUAAUGAAUUAAGGAUAAAAAUAAGUAUCAAAAGUAAAAUUUUAGAUAAACCGAUAUCUAUGAAGAAAGUUGUAGUGGUCGUAACAAGGAUUUCAUAGAUAUAAAGAACGCCGAAAUCCGAGUUAUAACGAGGAAGUUAUGACCUAUCAAAAUUUCGCGACAGAACCGGCACGACGUUGUGUGAGGUAAAAAGUGAGUUUACGACAAAGUCCUUUUUAGCCUUAGUGAUCGAAAUGAAAGUCUUAGCAUACGUUAAACCGAGAGCGUGCAUAAAAAGAAUGUCCAAAUUUGACUUCGUAUGAGGAAGUUUUGAAUUUUCUAAGAUUUGGAAUAGCAGUAUGCAGCCCAGAAUUCGAAUUAUAGAUCGAGCAAUUUUUAUCUGACAUAACCUAAACAAUAAUUGAAGAUCUCGUCAAUAGUAGUUCAACGGUAAAAAAAACAAAAACGGACGUCGGAUGAAGAAGUGAUGAAUUUUUAACAGACUUUUCUUGUCCCGACUUGUUAAAAUAAAACUUUAAAAAUAAAUUCAAAAUUAGCCAACCAAGUCUAAACGAAAGUUGUAUAGCAUGGUCUUACCUACGCGUGGAUAUAAAGAGCGUCGAAAAUGGAGCUCGUAUGCGAAACUUAUGAAUUUUUGAAGUUCGGGGCACAAACUUCGAGGCUUGAGGAACGCCCAGUAUACGAAGGGGUACGCUAAGCGUAUCGAGGUACGCCCAUGGUACGAGAUCUGCACGCCCAACGGUCUCAUUUUCCUCGGUCCAGAAGUGGCCACGACAUACCCUUCGCAUGCUUGACACGUCGAUGACACGUCCGACGUACCCCCUCUCCCCCGCACAACGUAUGAAGGUACACUUAGCAUAUAGCAGUACGCCCUGCGUACCAAGUUACGCCCAGUGUAACCUGAAGCUUCGGCCACCUAUAAAAAGGGUGUGAGGUUGCUCGAAAUUGGUUUACAUAAUUUUCACUCUUCCACCCUAUACUUUCUUUAAAGUCACACUAAAACCCCCCGAAGCCUGGGGUACCUUCCUAACACUAGAAGAAAGCCCUGGAGAGCCUGAAGUCUCCGAGAAAAAAGGGUUUUUUGAUUCGAAACUCUGCCCGCGCAGUGCCCGGUUUUUUAGCAAACCUCCUGGUUUCAUCGAAAAAUAUUGUUUUAAGGAACAAAGUGAUGUCCAAUCACCAUCUUAUCAAGUGAGUGUAUAGCCACUUUUAUCUUACACAUAGAUAUGAAGUAUUUUAUAUAAAAUAUGUGCUAUGUGUAUAUAUAUUGUUUAUUUAUUUGAGAUGGAAUUUUGAAUGACUGUUUUAUGCAUGUUUAGAAUGAUUUAAAAUGUAUAUGUAUUUUUAUCUACAAAUAUGUUGUGUAAACAUGGGUAGAUGAAAUAGUUGAUGUGUGAUGAAAUAAGAUGAUGAGAGGCCAUGAAGUUGUUUAUGUUCCAGUCAUCUAGCGGAGUAUAGAUGACGCCCACAGACUUUUCUAGAUUGUCCAGUUGAACGCUAGCAGGCUUGCAACAUGUAGGUGUUUGUGAACGAUGUGUUCACCGGUGUACUCCAUCCCCCUUAUGGUUUCCUUACAGACAUAUAUGGCUGAGGAAUCCCCUUAGCAAUAGUGUCCAUCCCGAUGAUGAUCCUUAGGCUAGGUCCCUCAUGAUAGGUGUUUAGGGACGUAAAGUGAGAAUAAUUGGAAUAUGUAAUCACGGUUAUUGGUGGUUGAUGAAAUUAAUAAAUUUAUUGUUGGUUGAUGAAAUUAAUAAAUUUAUUUAUUAUGGGUUGAAAAUCCUAUGUCCUCACCAAGCUCCCAAGCCUAACCCACUCAACCUUCUUUAUUACAGGUAGUGGAACAAGAACAUAGUUGGAUGACUUGACGAGGGAUUUUGGAUUAUAGGCCAGUAUAUGUAAAUAUAUGUUGUAAGGCCCAUAUUGUACUGUUUAUGCUUUUGAUCUGUAUCGAUGUUGACAUCCCAAGUUUGUAAUGAAAUGAAAAUACAUUUCUUUAAGAAAUUUUUUGAUAAAUGUUAUCAUAUUUUGUUUUGGGAACAAAUUCCGCAACAAUUUUCUUUGAAAGAUUACUCUGAUUUUAUUAUAAAAGGAUAAACUAAAUCGCUCUUUUAUGGCCGUGAAAAUGGGGAUGUCAAAUGUUCAACUAUUGAACAAUUGCACUUUCGUCCAUGCACUUUCAAUUAAUUCUUUUAAUCCCAAAAUUAAUUCCAAUUAAUUUUUGAUUAAAUAUUAAUUAAAUAAUAUGAUUUCUAAUUAAUAUAAUAUUUUUAUAAUACAUUAAUAAAUCAUUUAUUUCAAUUAACUAAUCAAAUAAUAAAUCAACCACACUCCAAAAGUCAUCCUGUCUAGUUGCUAGUUAUGAUGGCAAACCCAAAAGGACUGUGCAACUAUUAAUACCAGUAUAUACCAAUUAUAGUUGUGGGUUUAGAAACCUAAUCCAACAAAGACUUCCCAAACUAAAAUCCAGUAUUCAUAUAAAAACCCCGAAUGACACUUUACCGAUAUAUCCCUUGGUUCAAAAACACAAACCGAACUACCAGAUCAUCUAAGUUACAUUACCCACACCCAAAUGGGUCUAAAUUUCUCUCUCUCUCUCUCUCUCUCUCUCUCUCUCCCAAAGGCCUAAAGGCCCUAAGCCUGAUGAUAACCGAUCUUCAGGUCACCGCCCCGCAUAAGGAAAACAAUUCGGAACAGAGCGUUACAUUUAUAGUAACGUUGAUUGGUAAUUGAAAUAAUUACUAAAAAGUAACUAGAGAGAGAAAAUCGAAUACAUGUAUUCCGGCUUUAACCAACUCUCACCUUUUGAAAGAAGCCAAGUAAUCUUAUCACAUGUUGUCACUAUUUAUCCUAAUUAUGUAUUCACUAUUGUCUUUCUGGUAUCACGUCAAAAGAUUCUAAAACUAAAAAUAAAUUAAGAUCAUUUGACUUUAUUUUUAUAAAGUGUAAAUGAGUUUUGCACAAUUAAGGAUAAAUGAAGUUGAAGAUGGUGUUUGUAUACAUAGGUAAAUGAAGAUGGUGUCCAAUGAAAACAAUCUCUCUAUCCAAGGCCAAAGCAAAGAUUAAUUAUCUCAUCUCUAAAGCUCAAAAGUGAUCCAUAUAACUAAGUCAUCAUUCCAAUUAGAAAUUAUUUCUUACUUGCAUAUAAGAGCUUGAUGUUCAAUGAUAUACUUCAAAACUACACGCAUAAACUGGAAGCUACUCUUUACCCACAGUUUCCGAGUUUUCCUGACCAAUUCCACUAAUGUAACCACACUUUAGUAAUCAUUUUCAACCAACGAAAAAAUAAGCGAACAUGUAGGAACAACCUUGUCUUUUACCAACAUAGAGAAUUUUUUGUUUAUAAAGUUUGAGAGCUUAAUAUAUGAAUGUUAAUAAAGGAAUUUAACACAUUACUGCUAAUUUCAAAUUUAUUUUCUUUAAAAACUUCUAAUUAGCCUCUAAAUUUAAUAGUUCAAAUAAAUAUAACAUAGAAAAUUGAAACCCCACCCAAAAUCGCCCUUAGAGUUAAUUUACCUUCUAUGACUUCACAACUUUGGCGUGUCCCUUGUUGCUUCCUUUCUGCAUUAAACCUUAAAAUUGAAAGUGCAUCGGGAAAAUUAGAGUCAUCCAUCAUCUGCAAAUUAAAAAGGAUAGACACAAAUGAGAAUGUAAGUAAAACUUCUUAUCAUUUCCUCAUAAUCGAAGCUUCGAAAAGAACCAAAGUUUUUUCUAGGUCUUGUGCAAUACUCUAUGCAAACGCUAGUGAAAAUCCAAUAACUUCUCGUGAUUUAUAUGUGGAGAAGAUGGAGCAGGAGAAAGUGAAUCAAUGAAUAUAAUUUUUGAAAUCGAAAAUGUAAAUAUAAAAUCACCUGGAUUGAUACCAAAUUCCUCAAAGUCAUCAUCAUCUCCAAACACAUCAAUCUUACCUUCUUCAGCCUCUGCAAUAUGUAAAACACUACUUAAGUAAGCCCAAAUAUUAAACACAAUUUCAAUAAUAAAUAUCUUCCAUGUAUACACAUCACACAAAUUUAUUAUUGAAAUUGUGAUUAAUAUAAGGGCUUACUUAAAUUGUGUUUUACAAAUUGCAUGGGAUGAACAAGGUAAGAUUGAUGUGUUUGGAUAUGACGAUGUCUUUGAGGAAUUUGAUAUCAAUCCAGGUGAUUUUAUCUUUACAUUUUCGAUUUCAAAAAUUAUAUUCAUUGAUUCACUUUCUCCCGCUCCAUAUUCCAUGUAUACACAUCACACAAUUUUUUAGCCAAAAGUUGUUCUUCUUGGAGCCUUCUGGCUCUCCGGGCCUCGCUACUAACUCCUAAGAAGGGCUAGAUAAAAGCCUUGAGCUUUGGGGAGGUUUGGCAGAGAAGUUGAGAGAAGGUGUGAGGAAAUAAGGUGAUUUACGUCUCUAUUUAUAGGUAGCGACGUGAUCUACAACUUUCGUUUAGACUCGUUCGGCUAAUUUUGACUUUAUUUUUAAAGUUAUAUUUUAACAGGCUUAGACAAUUAAAGUUCGUCAAAAAUUCAUAACUUUGACAUCCGACGUCCGGUCUAUAUUCUGCUAUGCUAAAUUUUAUAAAAAUCAUAACUUCCUCAAACGAAGUCAGAUUUGGACAUUAUUUUUAUGUACGUUCUCGGUUUAACAUAUAAUAUGAAUUUCAUUUAGACCGCCAUGGCUAAAAGGUAUUUUGUUAAAAAUUCACCUUUUUACGAUACGCGACAUUGUGUCGAUCUUGUCGCAAAACUUCGACGGGUCAUAACUUUUUCAUUAUAAGUCGGAUUUCAACGUUCUUUAUAUGUAUCGAAUCCUUGUGAAAUAUACUAUAACUUUGGUUAAGAUUAUUUAUUCCAAAUAAUCUUCAAUCAAAAAGUCAUUUUUAACGCUUAUUACCUUUAAAUUGACUAGACCGAAUUUGCGGACGUCACAAUUAUCUCCCGCAUAGGAUGAUUACGUCCUGGAAUCAUCAACAACACAUGGCUUGUUUAAUGACUCCAUAUACUAUAUUUCCAUUCUAGGUAAUAACUAAAUCUUAUGUCCUUUCAAAUAAGUAUCUAACUCUUGGACUUCUUGACUGUUGGCGGUGCUCAAUCUUGCACCCGAUCUUCAUACUAUGUUGGACUUUCAAUCGUAACAUUUGAGUUACAAACUUGAUCCUUAUUGGAGACUUCUUCACCUUCUUAACAAACUUAACUUAAGAUAAGUUAUUAACAUCGAUUAAUGCGACAGACCGAUGUGUUAUGUUCUAAUGACCUCUCAUUGUAUGAUGCAACGCUUAGACUCAGGUCUUUUUGAGUCAGAUUCUAGAUUGGAAGAUACCUUCCUUCAUGUUCUAAUGUGAUAUAAUCACGUUAUAGUAUGUAGCACUUCUAGCUACAAGCUUCUUACUUUAACAACGAUCGAAAUACUUCUAUUGAUUGCUUCGAUUAUCUUUCACUUUAAUCUUUUGGCUUAAGUUAAAUGCUACAUCGAACUUGGUUCUCUGAAUCACGUAGAAUACAUAUCUUAGUCCGACUCGAUAUGAUAUGACCAUUAUGGUUUAAAUAAUAAUCAUGUUCUUAGUCAUUACCGAAACGCUUUUAACGACAAAUAUGAAUAAAAAGAAUCAAUUACUAGCACCUUGGUAACCUUGUGGCUUUCCCUAAUCCAAGUACAAGUUAAAUUCUUUCUUGGUCGUGCAUUCGUUGGCGUAGUGACCAAUAUUACCGUAUUUGAAGUAGGUCACCUCUUUAGAGCAUAAUGUGCUUCCUUCUACACUUGUCAUACCACUUUUCUUCAUUGUUAUCACCAUACCUCUUGUUAUUAAGGUCAAACUUCAGGAACCUAUUUUUCUUUUUGGAUCUUUAAGACACCUCACAUUUCCUCUUCUCGCCAACUUCAACCUUAUUGGUGGUUCUGCCUUUGAUCAUUUCUUCAACAGACUUAGCAGCCCAAAUGGCCGCCUCAAGAGUAUGUGCCUAGUAUAUUGGCACAAGGUACUUCCAUGGUAGUCCUUUAGCAUACUUAUCGAUUUUUGUUAGCUCUCCAAGGACGAUGCGCAAAGCAAACUCCAUCUUGUCUGUGAAGGCAUUAGUAUACUCGUCAAUAGAUAUGUUCCCCUUCUUCAACGUAAGAAAUUUGUUUUCUAACUGUAGCAGGUUUUGGGUUAAGCAUAACUUACAUCUAAAGUGUACCAAGAAUUCUUCCCAUAUCAGUUGUAGUGACUCAUUGGGGCUUAUGAUUUUUCCCAAUGUGUUCCACCAACGAACAACAUCUACCCCUAAACUAACAUAUAGCAUAAGUGGUUUGUAGCUUGCCCUUGCAACCACAUGUUAUGAAAGCUAGCUCCGUUUCAUAGAUUCAGUUAUUGGAUCUUCUUUCCCAGUAAAAGUUUAUGGUUUUCAAGUCAUACAGUCUUUAUACUUGCAUCUGCUCCUUUCAAUUCCUUCAUUUUGGUUAGUUCUUCUAACCACUUGUGGUUCGGCUUCACUAACGGUUCUAUUAUAACUUCCUUCUUCUGACUGUUCGAUGUUCAGUUCAAGCUGCUCAACAAGAACACAUUUUCCUCACCUCUUCCCUUUGUUCGGCCAUCAUUGCCCAAAUCAUUUCUUAGACUCCUGCCAUCGUGAUUGGCUCGGGUGCAGCUGCUACCUCUAGUGCACACUCAAUCACAUGUGGUUCAGGCUAUUGAUUUCCAUUAGCAUUUCCUAAUCCGUUGCGAAUUCUCACCAUUUCGAUCUAUACACUCUAGUAGAUGUUUAGUAUGUAGCAACGAGAAUUAAGAUAGGGAAAUAUUUAUUUACCACAUGCGUAUAAAUCUCCUUAUCACUCCGAAAUGUUACAUGUCCUGUCUAAUACCGUAAUUAAAUAUUUAGAAAUCUGAACAUAUAAAUUUUCCAAAUUCGGUCAGCAAGAGACCAUAGAUCCACUCAAAUAAUGGCAUCAUAAAGCAUCAUAAAUGUAGCACCUAAUUCCCGGUAUGCAUUUAAUUUAAACAUUUCUGAAUUUUCUCUGGGACUCGACGAGUUGGUGGCCCAACUCGUCGAGUAGGGUCGUGAUCCGCGGGCAUUUUAAGUGACCUACUCGGUGAGUUGGGAGACUGACUCGGCGAUUAGGUGUUGUAUGAGGGAAACCCUAAAUCUGAGGGUUUGCACCCUAUUUAAACGACUUAACUCAGCCUCCCUCAUCCCUAUCUCUCCCAAAAAGCUGUAUAUCAAAACCCUAGCCAUUUUGUGUUAUCUAAGGCUAUUUUAGUGCUUUUGGGUGGUUUGUGAAGCUUGAAAGGAAGGAAGAAGCUUGAGAAUUCAAGUUGGGGCUUGUAGAUCCAGAGAUCUUAUUCCAUCUUCAGCUCAAGCAAGGUAAAUGCCCCCUGUUUUGGUCUUCCAUUUGGUUGUUCAUCUUUAGGGCUUAGAUUUUGGGUGCAUUUAGGGCUUCCUAAUCCAUUUUUGGAUUUCUGAAGAGAUUCAUGGGGUUCUACUUUCAUAUCUGUGUCAUUGGAUGGGUCUCAUGGCAUAAAGGUGCCAACUUUAUGGCCAUCAGAGCCCCAUGUACAUUGUAGAGUACCUUUUAUGGAUUUUUAAGCCAAAAACAUCAUGCAUGUGCACCAAGUUUGGAACUUUACGUAUAAAAUGAACAUUAGGAGGCCAAAUCUAUGGUUUUGAUGUGUUGAGACCAACUUAAAUCAGCUAUAUAGUAAUGGUCAAGGAUGUACUUGCCGAGUUGUUCUUGGGACUCGACGAGUCGAAUUGUAAUGACCACCAAAUCCAUUCUGCGAAUGGACCAGCUGUUUGGGAGGGAAGUCCCGUAGAUGUUUAGAUGCGAAAAAGAACUUAAGAAUCAUGGGACUCAACGAGUGUAUGAAUAGACUCGGCGAGUCCAAGGCAAUCUCCCAACCUUUGAAGAUUGACUCCACGAGUUGUUCAUACAACUCGGCGAGUCGUAGACUAGACAUGUUCUUAUGAGGGAGAUGAACUCGCUGAGUUCAAGGAAGAACUCGGCGAGUCGGAUGAAGACGGUCCCGAUAGUUUGAUGGAAGAAGAACUCAUCGAGUUCUUGCUAGACUCGACGAGCGGAGUCGAGGUUGUAUCAGAUUAGUGGAGUGUGGACUCGGCGAGUUAGGUCAACUGGUUGUUGACUUUGACCAAGUUUGACUUUGUCUGGUUAUGGUAUUGACCCUAUUUAGGGUCAUAUGUUAUGUUUGAUGACUUGAGAAUUUUCUUAUAGGGAUUGAGGAGUCGAUGGGAGCCGCCUUCACGCCGAGGACAGUUCAGACGCUACACGACAUCAAGGUGAGUUACCUUCCAGUAGAGGUGGGUCUAAGGCCACAAUGCCGACCCACCAACAGGGGUAUUUAGUUGAUAAUUAUCUUGGUUUGGUUAUGUGACUUGGUCAUUAGAUAUGCUUGCGUAAUAUGAAAGUUGUGUUAGUGGUAGUGAUAGGGAAUAGUCUUUCCCUGGCAUAGCUCGUUAGGACCAAUAGGUAGGUUGGUACCCCGAUAUGCCUGAAUGUAUGUUUAUAUCUUGCUAUUGUAUGCUAGUGGUAGGGGUGAUAUAGUCCCUAGUUACCGGUUGAAAGAUACCGAUGGUAGUUACCGGUUCAAAGAUACUGAUGACGGUUACCGGUUGAAAGAUAUCGAUGGCGGUUACCGGUUGAAAGAUACCGAUGAUAGUUACCGGUUGAAAGAUACCGAUGGUAGUUACCAGUUGAAAGAUGCCUAUGAUAUUAUAUGGUAUGCAGUAUGAUGGGGGAACUCACUAAGCUUUGUGCUUACAGUUUUUGGUGGUGGUUUCAGGUACCUCUUCGUCGAAGGGGAAGGAGCCGACGGUGUAGCAGCGCACCACACACAUGAUUUCCACAUGGAAUUUUCUGGGAUUGUACUAUGAUUUUUAUUACUUUUGAUGAUAUGGUUUUCAGAAACAUUGUUAUGUCUUUAUGUUUGAUAUGACAUUCACAGUGAUUGGUAAACUAUGUUAUGAAUUGCUUAAUUAAAAAUGAAAUUUUUUGCCUCGAUUUUUGGGAUGUUACGAGUUGGAAUCAGAGCUCUGGUUUGAGGGAUUCGGACACACCCUCAAGGGUGUCUGGACUCAAACCGAGGGACUAAAAGAUUUUUUUUAAGGAAAAAAGUUUCUAAAAUUUUAAGUUAAGAAAUUUUGAGAACAGACAAGGUGUGUGAUGCGUGCGACCGGCCGAGCUCAAGUAAGUUUUCCCCAAGAUACCAAUACUUUUUAUGUUAUGUGUAUGGUUCUAGAUUCUGAGAACUGCAUGCUAAAUUAGGGCUAGGGAUCUAGAAGGAUGCCUUGUAUGGCUGAUAUAUGAUUCUGAGAACUGCAUGCUAGAGUAGGGCUAAGGAUCUUGACGAUGCCUUGAAUGUCUGAUGUAUGAGUUGUAUGCUAGCACUGUUUAGACAGCAGUAGGAUAGCCUGAUUAGGUUAUGCCUGAUCUGGUUACUCGAUGCACGAAUGUUUCUUACUUUGUGCUUAAGGGGUCCUGUCUAACUUUAACUAACUAGUGAACGGAUAUGUAACAGUAUUCACAAGCUAGUUAGGGAAGGGAGGUAGGGACUCCUAGUGCAGCUGAUGGUGGAGAGUAGGUCGGAGAGUGCCCUAGGAAAGCCUAGGACGAGAUUAGUAGGAAAGGGUAUCGGUAAAAGGACUUGGUGAAGUUGAUGCAAUCCUUGAGGAAAGUAUGGAUAUAUGUGGAAGGUAGUAUGGGCCUGUACUACUGGAAGCAGAGGAUCCAUACUCGAGUCAAGGAGGGUCGAGAUGGAACCAGGAAACUUGGAGAGUGCGUGAGACCUCUCGAGGGGUAUGUAUGAUCCUGACUUUUAUGUGUUUAUUUUCAGUAUUGCGAUUACACGACAUGGAGCAGGAGGAUCAGGUUCAGGAUCAGGAUCAGGCUCGGGUGUAGGAUCCGGGCAGGUUGAUGACGGGCUACGCGAGUUCAUCGCGUCUGAGAUCAUGAGAGGUAUCCUUGAUGCGACCCCCGUCAUUUUUGGGUAGAUCAAGGUGGGGAUUAUUGAGCUGAUGGAGGAUUGCCUUCGGGCAUUCAGGAGUGAUUUGGCGUCUAGCUAGACGGGUACGUGCACACUAUCCUUCAAGGACUUUCUAGGGAGAGGUGCGCCGGAUUUUCACGGGGUGAAGGACCCCAUUGCUGCUAGGAGAUGGAUUGCAUACAUUUAGUCUGUGCAGUUGGCGAGCUUCUGCCCGGAAGGGUAGAAGGUCCGUUUUGUGGCGGGUUGUUUGAGGGAUCGAGCCAGGGAUUGGUGGGAGUUAGUUGGUGAUUGGUUAUGAGCCCCAGCCAUCGAAGCUAUGACUUGGUCAGAUUUCGUGACCAGAUUCAGGGUUGAGUUUGCACUAGCUGUGGAGCUUCAGCAGCUGGGCAGAGAGUUUUUGGAUAUGAGACAGACUACAGAGACUGUGGCGGAGAUCACCGCCAAGUUCCGAGAGAGAGAGCAUUGUUGGUACCCCAGUAUGUAGGGGAUGAGGAGAUACGGAAGACCCGCUAUCAUGAUAUGUUGAGAGUCGACAUUCCGGAGCAUGUCAGCUAUUUGGCUUGCCCGUCCCUGGAGUCCAUGAUUGCCAGGGCACGGGAGAGGGAGAUUGAUUUAGAGAACCUCGGGAAGAGGAAGUCAGAGACUACGCAGGUUGCAGGGGUUUUAAGGAAGAAACCCAAGGGAAUCGACGUGAGGUCGAAGGGCCAACAGGGGCGGGACCGCUGUGGAAAGUGCGGUCGGUCACACGAGGGAGUUCGCUGCACUAGGCCAACUUUCGACUACUAUAAGUGCAGCUAGAUAGGACAUUUUGGAAGGGAUUGUACUACCCCUGCUCCCACGGUUCAGAUAUCAGACCUAAUUUGCUUUCAUUGCAAUCAGAGGGGCCAUAAAAAGGCCAACUACCCUAGAUCAACAGCAGCGGCAGCAGCAGCGCCAACGGUGGCGCCGACCCCAGCGUCGGCACGGGUGACGGAUGGCCGGAAGGCUAAGGUAGAGGCUCCAUUGGUGCGGACCUGAGCCGUUCAGUUGACAGUCGAGGAGUCACAUGUUGCACCCGAUGUGGUGACGGGUACGAUUUCUUUCUUAUGUCUUUACGUUAUGUCGUUGUGAUUUUGAUAUGUUAUGUAUGUGCUUUGUUUAGGAUCGUUCCAUGUGAACGGUAUCCCAGUUCAGGUAUUGUUUGAUUCGGGUGCUACCCGAUUGUUUGUAUCUCUUGCGCUUAACAACAAGUUUCCUGAAUCUUCGGGCAUGCUGCAUUGCCCUUUGGAGGUCGGGAUUGCAGACGACCGGUCAGUGCGAGCAUCAAACGUCUACCAGAACUGUGUUUUGAGACUGUUUGAAGAGCGUUACCUGGUAGACUUGGUUCCUAUACCUUUUCAGGCGAACAAGGUUAUUAUUGGUAUGGAUUGGCUAAGCCCCAAUGGGACUGUGAUCAACUGCACGUAGCAGUUGGUGCGGAUGAGGACCCCAAGUGGGGUAGAGCUAGUGAUUCAAGGUGAGAGGCCACAGCGAGGACCAACUUUCUAUUCAGCAGCGAGACCUAGGCGCUAGCUUCAGCAGGGUUGCGCAGGAUUUGUCGCCUAUGUUAUGGAUACCCGGGAAACAGGUAAGGCGACGGUAGGCAAUGUGUCCGUGUUACGAGAGUUUGCAGAUGCAAUCCCCAAGGAGUUGCAUGGGAUACCUUCGGAGAGGAAGGUAGGGUUCAGGAUCGACCUAGUACCUGGUGCGGCUCCGAUAGCCAAGGCGCCGUUUAGGUUGACUCCUCUUGAGAUGCAAGAGUCGUGUACGUAGCUGCAGGAGCUGUUAGACAAAGGAUUCAUUAGACUGUGCAGUUCACCCGGGGGAGCCCCGAUUCUGUUUGUGAAGAAGAAGGACGGGUCACAUCGGAUGUGUAUUGACUAUCAGGAGUUGAAGAAGGUAAUGGUGAAGAACCGUUACCCACUCCCGGGGAUUGAUGACCUCUUUGACCAGCUUCUGGGAGCAUCUUGGUUCUCCAAGAUUAAUCUACGUUUAGGAUAUCAUCAGAUGAGGGUCAGAGAGGAAGAUGUGUAUAAGACUACAUUCUGGACACGCUAUAGCCACUAUGAGUUCGUGGUGAUGCCUUUCGGGCUCACUAAUGCUCUUGCCACGUUGAUGGACCUCAUGAACCACGUGUGCAGACCGAUGUUGGAUCGGUCUGUGAUGGUUUUCAUCGGACAUCUUGGUUUAUUCCAAGACUCGAGAAUUGCAUGAGGAGCAUUUGCGAGAGGUUUUGGAUACAUUAAGGAUAGAGAACUUGUAUGCUAAGUUCUCCAAGUGCGAUUUCUGGUUGCGCCAGGUGCAGUUUCUUGGGCACGUUGUCAACCAGAACGGGAUUUCGGUUGACCCGGACAAGGUAGAGGCCGAGAUGAGGUGGGAGGUUCCGAGGUCUCCAUCUAAGAUUUGGAGCUUCUUAGGAUUGGCAGGCUACUAUCGAAGGUUCAUUUAAGACUUCUCCAAGAUAGUCAUGCCCCUGACCCGGUUGACGAGGAAAGUCGUGGUCUUUUGCUGGGGGCUUGAGCAGCAGGCCGCAUUUGAUACAUUGAGACAGAGAUUGUGCGAAGCGCCAAUCAUAGCCCUGCCAUAGGGCAUGGAGGACUUGUGGUAUACUGAGAUACGUCCAUCUUAUGCUUAGGUGUUGUAUUGAUGUAGAGGGGGCAUGUUAUAGCUUAUGCUUCGAGGCAGCUGAAGCCUCACGAGGCGAAUUACCCGACGCAUGAUUUGGAGCUAGGGGUUGUUGUUUUGCCCUCAAGAUUUGGUGCCAUUACCUCUAUGGGGUUUGUUGUACCAUUUACACGAACCACAAGAGCCUGAGGUAUCUAAUGGACCAGCCAAAUCUAAAUAUGAGGCAACGUCGGUGGGUUGAUGUGGUAAAGGAUUAUGAUUGCGAGAUCCUCUACCACCCGGGGAAGGCCAAUGUCAUGGGCGAUGCGCUUAGCUGCAAGGCAGCGCUGAUUAGGGAAAUUUGUCUAAGGAUGAAAGUUGUAACUCCGUUGUUGGAGCAGAUUCGAGAGGCCCAGCAAGAGUCCAUGAAGGAGGAACAUCGAAGAGUGAGAGAAUUGUGGAUCAGCUUUCCUCAUUCGACUAUGAUAGUCAUGGAUUGUUGACUCUUCACCGUAGGGUGAGGGUCCCAUAUCAUGGGGGUGUGCGCUAGGUACUGAUGGCAGAGGCGCACAAAUCUAGGUUCUCCAUCCAUCCCGGGGUAACGAAGAUGUAUAGGAAUCUUCGUCUCGGUUAUUGGUAGCCCUGUAUGAAGAGGGGCGUAGCUUGGUUCGUGGAAAGGUGCCUAACCAGCAGGAAGGUCAAGGCUAAGCACUAGAGACCUCAUGGGAAGGUCCAACCAUUGGACAUCCCGCUGUGGAAGUGGGAGGAUAUUACUAUGGACUUCAUCACAAAGCUUCCUAGGACCGUACGAUGGGUGGAUUCGAUCUGGGUCAUCGUUGAUCGAAUGACCAAGAGCACACAUUUUAUUCUAAUUCAAGAGAAUAUUUCGGCCAAAAAGUUGGCCAACAUCUACAUCCGGGAGGUAGUGGAGCGGCACGGGGUGCCAAUUUCAGUGAUUUCACACAGGGACGUGCGGUUCACUUCCAGGUUUUGGAAGAAGUUUUAUGGAGAGUUGGGUACUCGACUGCAUUUUAGCACCGCCUUUCAUCCGCAGAUGGAUGGUCAGAGCGAGCGGAUCAUCCAAACUCUGGAGGAUAUGCUGUGGGCAUGUAUUUUAGACUUCGGAGGUAGUUGGGAUACUUACCUUCCGUUGGCUGAGUUCUCCUAUAAAAAUAUUUAUCAUGCGAGUAUCGACCAUCCUCCCUUCGAAAAUGUUGUAUGGGAGGAAGUGCAGGACCCAGAUAUGCUGGGGAGAUGUUGGGUAAAGAGUCAUGGGGAGUACCAAAGUAGUACUCAAUACUACGGAGAAGAUCCAGCAGGUUUGGAGCAGGCUUCAGACUGCUCAGAGUCGGCAGAAAAGCUAUGCCGACAAGCGACGGUCGGAUCUGGAGUUCUAGGUCGGGGAUAUGGUACUCCUGAAGCUGUCACCAUUGAAGGGCGUCAUUCGAUUCAGGAAGCAGGGAAAGCUGGGCCCCAGGUAUAUUGGACCCUUCAGGGUUAUAGCCCGGGUGGGAAAGGUGGCAUAUAGGCUAGAUCUGUCAGCCAAACUCAGUCAGAUUCAUAGCUCCUUCACGUCUCCCAGUUAUAGAAAUGUUUGGUGGACAAUUUACCAGUGGUGCCUUUAGAGGAUAUUCGGGUUGAUGACAGUCUGAACUACAUCGAGCGGCCAGUGGAAACCCUUGACCGGAAGUCAAGGGAUCUGAGGAACAAGAGGGUGGAACUGGUAAAGGUCCAGUGGCAGCACCGCAAGGGCUCAGAAUGGACCUGGGAGCCGGAGGACGAGAUGAGGAAGCACUACCCCGAGCUUUUUCAGGAUCAAGUAGCAGACUUCGAGGAUGAAGUCUAGAAUAAGUGGGGGAGAUUUGUAGCACCUGAUUCCCGGUACACAUUUAAUUUAAACGUUUCUGUAUUUUCUCUGGGACUCGACGAGUUGGUGGCCCAACUCGUUGAGUAGGGUCGUGAUCCGUGAGCAUUUUAGGUGACCUACUCGACGAGUCUGGAGACUGACUCGGCGAGUAGGUGUUGUAUGAGGGAAACACUAAAUCUGAGGGUUUGCACCCUAUUUAAACGACUUAACUCAGCCUCCCUCAUCCCUAUCUCUCCCAAAAAGUUGUAUAUCAAAACCCUAGCCCUUUUGUGUGAUCUAAGGCCAUUUUAGUGCUUUUGGGUGGUUUGUGAAGCUUGAAAGGAAGGAAGAAGCUUGAGAAUUCAAGUUGGGGCUUGUAGAUCCAGAGAUCUUAUUCCAUCUUCAGCUCUCGCAAGGUAAAUGCCCCCUGUUUUUNCGCCUCAUGAGGCUUCAGCUGCCUCGAUGCAUAAGCUAUCACAUGCCUCGAUGCAUAAGCUAUCACAUGGACCCCNCCAUUUGGUUGUUCAUCUUUAGGGCUUAGAUUUUGGGUGCAUUUAGGGCUUCCUAAACCAUUUUUGGAUUUGUGAAGUGAUUCAUGGGGCUCUACUUUCAUAUCUGAGUCAUUGGAGGGGUCUCAUGGCAUAAGGGUGCCAACUUUAUGGCCAUGAGAGCCCCAUGUACAUUGUAGAGCACCUUUUAUGGAUUUUUAAGCCAAAAACAUCGUUCAUCUUUAGGGCUUAGAUUUUGGGUGCAUUUAGGGCUUCCUAAACCAUUUUUGGAUUUGUGAAGUGAUUCAUGGGGCUCUACUUUCAUAUCUGAGUCAUUGGAGGGGUCUCAUGGCAUAAGGGUGCCAACUUUAUGGCCAUGAGAGCCCCAUGUACAUUGUAGAGCACCUUUUAUGGAUUUUUAAGCCAAAAACAUCGUGCAUGUGCACCAAGUUUGGAACUUUACGUAUAAAAUGGACAUUAGGAGGCCAAAUCUAUGGUAUUGAUGUGUUAAGACCCACUUAAAUCAGUUGUAUAGUAAUGGUCAAGGAUGUAAUUGUCGAGUUGUUCUUGGGACUCGAUGAGUCGAAUUGUAAUGACCACCAAAUCCAUUCUGCGAAUGGACCAGUUGUUAGUGAGGGAAGUCCCAUAGAUGUUUAGAUGCGAAAAGGACCUGAGAAUCAUGGGACUCGACGAGUGUAUGAACACACUCGGUGAGUCCAAGGCAAUCUCCCAACCACUGAAGAUUGACUCGACGAGUUGUUCAUACAACUCGACGAGUCGUAGACUGGACAUGUUCUUAUGAGGGAGAUGAACUCGCCGAGUUCAAGGAAGAACUCGGAGAGUCGGAUAAAGAUGGUCCCAAUAGUUUGAAGGAAGAAGAACCCGUCGAGUUCUUACUAUACUCGACGAGCGGAGUCGAGGUUGUAUCGGAUUAGUGGAGUAUGGACUCGGCGAGUUGGUGGGCCAACUCGGCGAGUCAGGUCAACUAGAUGUUGACUUUGACCAAGGUUGACUUUUUCUGGUUAUGGUAUUGACCCUGUUUAGGCUCAUAUGUUUUGUUUGAUGACUUGAGGAUUGUCGUGUAUGGAUUGAGGAGUCAAUGGGAGCCGACCUUCACGCCGAGGACAGUACAGAUGCUACACAACAUCUAGGUGAGUUACCUUCCAGUAGGGGUGGGUCUAAGGCCACAAUACCGACCCACCAAUAGGGGUAUUUAGUUGAUAAUUAUCUUGGUUUGGUUAUGUGACUUGGUCAUGAUAUAUGCUUGCAUAAUAUGAAAGUUGUGUUAGUGGUAGUGACAGGGAAUAGUCUUUCCCCUGGCAUAGCUCGUUAGUGUUGGAUAAGGUGUCUAAGUCCAUAACUAUUUCUGGUAUGUACUUGACCUGACCCGGCAUGGUCCAUUUGGUUGCAUGGCACCAUGCAAUUGGAUAGACUGAAUGAGAGAAAUAACACUUGGAGAUUAUUAAUAUAUUAUAAGUUCUAAUAUAUUAAUAAUAUUAUUUGAUUAGUUUGAUCAAUAAUUAAUUCAGAAUUAAUUAAGUGGUCAAAAGAGAACUAAUUAAAUAUAUGGGUUGAUUAUGUAAAUCAUCCAUAUCUUGUAUAGUGGGCUAAGAGGCUCCAUGGAUUAUCAAGUUGGGUUCUACCCAUAGGAUGCUCCAUGGGAGUCACAAACCCAUGGGUCAUGGAAAUGAAGAGUCAUGACACAUUAGGGUUUACAUGGUUUAACCCUAGAUGUGUCAACACUAUAUAAGAAUCAUAUUCUCCACCAAAAUCGGUGAGACUAAGAAAACAAUAGGGCUUGGCCAAUUUCAAGAAGUGUGUGCUCUCUCAUAAGUUUUUCCAAGAGCAUUUGGUGUUGUGUGAAGCAUUUGAGGCAUCACACUUGGGGUGCUAGGCUCACAAGGUUUCAAGGAACACAAGCAACAACAAGGUAAGUUAUUCUAUCUAUUAUUCAAGUUAAAAUUGUUCCCCAUGUAUGCUAGAUAGGAAUAUAGCCUUGGAAUUCAACUUAGCAUGAUAAUUAGACAAACAUAGAUCCAAGGUUAUUAGGGUUGCAUGUACACUUAGGAAGUGUUAGAAUGCUCAAAACCCAUCAGUGGUAUCAGAGCCUAGGCUUGUUUGCUUUUUAUUUGUGCUUAAAAGUUGAAAAAAAAGUCAAAAAUCUUGCUGUCUGACGAAUGGACUCGCCGAGUCGAUGGGGGGACUCGUCGAGUUCACUUGUAUCUGCAACCUACUCGGCGAGUAGGUUCAUGCACUCGGCGAGUAGGGUCGACAGAGUGCAGAAUUUCGACUUCAGUUGCUGGAAAUGGAUUGGAUACAUUACCCUAAAUUGUUUUGGUACUUGAAAACUUGUUUUAGAAGGUGUAAUGUCUUUUCUAACUCAUUUACAACAACUAGUUAUCAAAAUUACAAAGAUUAAAUGUGAUUUUGAUUCUUGAAGGUGUUCAUAUUCAUAUUCUUGUUCUUAUGAUGUUUAGAUGAUCAUAGGAAUUAUUUGUAACCUAUGUGGUAGUUUAAUUCUUGAUCAUAAUGUGUUUUAAUGGAGUCCAUAACUUGUCCUCAAGUUAUGGAAAACCAAAAGUCUCUUGGAUUAAAAACCCUUAAAAGAACACAAGAGUUAGGAAAAAUGAAAAGUCCUCAUUUUAUUACUCUAUUAAACUCAUAAGUUACAAGAAAUGAAAAGUUUUGAAAGUUUACAAAACUUGCCCUCAAGUUUUGGAACAAGUAAAGUUAAGUUAAAACUUUAGUUCCAACCCCUAGAAUUUUAAAAGUUAAAAUUCAACCCUUAUACUUAUAUUAUU